UACGUAGGGUGCGAGCGUUAAUCGGAAUUACUGGGCGUAAAGCGUGCGCAGGCGGUUUUGUAAGCCAGAUGUGAAAGCCCCGGGCUUAACCUGGGAAUGGCAUUGAAUACUGAGUAACUGGAGUCGAACAGAGGGCAGUGGAAUUUCCGGUGUAGCGGUGAAAUGCGUAGAGAUCGGAAAGAACAUCAGUGGCGAAGGCGUCUGCCUGGGUUCAGACUGACACUUAAGUGCGAAAGCGUGGGGAGCAAACAGG
This 253-nucleotide ribosomal RNA is filed under the name uncultured bacterium. Its description in RNAcentral is "partial 16S ribosomal RNA". It matches the Rfam family "Bacterial small subunit ribosomal RNA", at positions 524 to 776 of the family's 1533-position model. The record is from RNAcentral.